This 538-nucleotide long non-coding RNA is filed under the name Fragaria vesca (wild strawberry). Its description in RNAcentral is "long non-coding RNA (FVES_LNC000719)". The record is from RNAcentral. Lineage: Eukaryota; Viridiplantae; Streptophyta; Magnoliopsida; Rosales; Rosaceae.
GGGUAGUGAGGAUGCUUGGGUGGUGAGUACACUGGUGGUGUUGGUGAGGGUGGUGACUUGGGAGGGUAAUGAGGGUGCUUGGGUGGUGAGUAGACCGGUGUCUUAGGUGGUGACUUGGGGGGGUAGUAGGGGUGGUGAGGUGGUGAGUAGACUGGCGUUGGUGGUGGAGGAGACUUGUAGUGGUAUGGCUUCUUUGGUGGUGGUGGUGAGUGAUGUGGGUGGUAGGGCUUCUUGUGUGGUGGCGGGGGUGGUGGAGACUUGUAGUGGUAAGGCUUCUUCGGUGGUGGUGGAGGUGGUGGAGACUUGUAGUGGUAUGGCUUCUUUGGUGGUGGUGGUGAGUGGUGUGGAUGGUAGGGCUUCUUGUGUGGUGGGGGUGGUGGAGGAGACUUGUAAUGGUAAGGGACCUUCGGUGGUGGCGGUGAUGGAGGAGGAGGAGACUUGUAGUGGUAAGGCACCUUAGGUGGUGGUGGUGAUGGAGGAGGAGGAGACUUGUAGUGGUAUGGCACCUUUGGUGGUGGUGGUGACGGAGGUGGUGGAG